RNAcentral lists this ribosomal RNA (329 nucleotides) under Vibrio cholerae. RNAcentral's name for it is "bacterial SSU rRNA". It matches the Rfam family "Bacterial small subunit ribosomal RNA", at positions 1210 to 1533 of the family's 1533-position model. The record is from RNAcentral. Lineage: Bacteria; Pseudomonadati; Pseudomonadota; Gammaproteobacteria; Vibrionales; Vibrionaceae.
AGGGCUACACACGUGCUACAAUGGCGUAUACAGAGGGCAGCGAUACCGCGAGGUGGAGCGAAUCUCACAAAGUACGUCGUAGUCCGGAUUGGAGUCUGCAACUCGACUCCAUGAAGUCGGAAUCGCUAGUAAUCGCAAAUCAGAAUGUUGCGGUGAAUACGUUCCCGGGCCUUGUACACACCGCCCGUCACACCAUGGGAGUGGGCUGCAAAAGAAGCAGGUAGUUUAACCUUCGGGAGGACGCUUGCCACUUUGUGGUUCAUGACUGGGGUGAAGUCGUAACAAGGUAGCGCUAGGGGAACCUGGCGCUGGAUCACCUCCUUACACGA